Molecule: ribosomal RNA, 492 nt
Filed under: uncultured bacterium
Lineage: Bacteria
Description: partial 16S ribosomal RNA
Rfam family: Bacterial small subunit ribosomal RNA
Source: RNAcentral
AGUGAACGCUGGCGGUAGGCCUAACACAUGCAAGUCGAACGGCAGCACAGUAAGAGCUUGCUCUUACGGGUGGCGAGUGGCGGACGGGUGAGGAAUACAUCGGAAUCUACUUUUUCGUGGGGGAUAACGUAGGGAAACUUACGCUAAUACCGCAUACGACCUACGGGUGAAAGCAGGGGAUCUUCGGACCUUGCGCGAUUGAAUGAGCCGAUGUCGGAUUAGCUAGUUGGCGGGGUAAAGGCCCACCAAGGCGACGAUCCGUAGCUGGUCUGAGAGGAUGAUCAGCCACACUGGAACUGAGACACGGUCCAGACUCCUACGGGAGGCAGCAGUGGGGUAUAUUGGACAAUGGGCGCAAGCCUGAUCCAGCCAUACCGCGUGGGUGAAGAAGGCCUUCGGGUUGUAAAACCCUUUUGUUGGGAAAGAAAAGCAGCAGGUUAAUACCCCGCUGUUCUGACGGUACCCAAAGAAUAAGCACCGGCUAACUUCGUG